AUUCGCGGCCUAUCAGCUUGUUGGUGAGGUAACGGCUCACCAAGGCGACGACGGGUAGCCGGCCUGAGAGGAUGUCCGGCCACACUGGGACUGAGACACGGCCCAGACUCCUACGGGAGGCAGCAGUGGGGAAUAUUGCACAAUGGACGAAAGCCUGAUGCAGCAACGCCGCGUGAGGGAUGACGGCCUUCGGGUUGUAAACCUCUUUUAGUAGGGAAGAAGCGAAAGUGACGGGACCUGCAAAAAAAGCACCGGCUAACUACGUGCCACCAGCCGCGGUAAUACGUAGGGUGCAAGCGUUGUCCGGAAUUAUUGGGCGUAAAGAGCUCGGAGGCGGUUUGUCGCGUCUGCUGUGAAAUCCCGAGGCUCAACCUCGGGCUUGCAGUGGGUACGGGCAGACUAUAGUGCGGUAAGGGAGAUUGGAAUUCCUGGUGUAGCGGUGGAAUGCACAUAUAUCAGGAGGAACACCGAUGGCGAAGGCAUAUCUCUGGACCGUAACUGACGCUGAGGAGCGAAAGCGUGGGGAGCGAACAGGAUUACAUACCCUGGUAGUCCACGCCGUAAACGUUGGGCACUAUAUGUAUGGACCUUUCCACGGUUUCUGUGUCGUAACUAACGCAUUAAGCGCCCCGCCUGGGGAGUACGGAAUCUCUAA
This 655-nucleotide ribosomal RNA is filed under the name uncultured Actinomycetes bacterium. RNAcentral describes it as "bacterial SSU rRNA". It matches the Rfam family "Bacterial small subunit ribosomal RNA", at positions 229 to 899 of the family's 1533-position model. The record is from RNAcentral. Lineage: Bacteria; Bacillati; Actinomycetota; Actinomycetes.